RNAcentral lists this ribosomal RNA (481 nucleotides) under Streptococcus sanguinis. RNAcentral describes it as "bacterial SSU rRNA". It matches the Rfam family "Bacterial small subunit ribosomal RNA", at positions 382 to 855 of the family's 1533-position model. The record is from RNAcentral. Lineage: Bacteria; Bacillati; Bacillota; Bacilli; Lactobacillales; Streptococcaceae.
CCAGACCGAGCAUCGCCGCGUGAGUGAAGAAGGUUUUGGAUCGUAAAGCUCUGUUGUAAGAGAAGAACGGGUGUGAGAGUGGAAAGUUCACACUGUGACGGUAUCUUACCAGAAAGGGACGGCUAACUACGUGCCAGCAGCCGCGGUAAUAGGUAGGUCCCGAGCGUUGUCCGGAUUUAUUGGGCGUAAAGCGAGCGCAGGCGGUUAGAUAAGUCUGAAGUUAAAGGCUGUGGCUUAACCAUAGUAUGCUUUGGAAACUGUUUAACUUGAGUGCAGAAGGGGAGAGUGGAAUUCCAUGUGUAGCGGUGAAAUGCGUAGAUAUAUGGAGGAACACCGGUGGCGAAGGCGGCUCUCUGGUCUGUAACUGACGCUGAGGCUCGAAAGCGUGGGGAGCAAACAGGAUUAGAUACCCUGGUAGUCCACGCCGUAAACGAUGAGUGCUAGGUGUUAGGCCCUUUCCGGGGCUUAGUGCCGCAGCUAA